UCUAUAACACUGACUGCUGGGGAUAAAUAUUUAAAUAUUUGUUUAAAUUAGUGUUUACAAUUAAGUUAAAAACAUGUUAUCGACUUGUAUUCUUGAAUUAAAGUUAUUUAGAAACGAUUUAAAUGAUGAGUGUUAUGAUCGGAAUGCAACAUUCAUCCAUAUGAAGAAAUAAUUAUUUCUAUCAAACAUACAAAAUGACACUCGAUCUGAAUAAUUUUUGCAAUUUACGGUCUUGGACACAGACCACCAACCAGCUUUCUCCGGGCGUCUCGGUAUUUUGGCUAGUCUCCCCCAUAUUCUCAGCAUCUGCAUCCAGGUCGCGGCACCAGAUACAGAUAAUAAGGAUCUGAUAUUCCGACAAUAGUACAGUAUGCUGAUACCAACACGCCUACUCGUAUACGUUGCAGAAUCAACGGCUACGUAUCACUCUGGAUCAGCAGACGAUUUAUUGCUUAAAUCUGCUGAUGAGUCCGGAGAUAGCCGAUGUAGCACGAUUGGCUGCGUAUGUGUCGUAUGACCGAAUCUUCAAAAUACGCGGGGUUUUCCCAACGGUGUAUAUUCUUUAUUCUUAACUGCACACGUAACAGAUUGCCAAGCAGUUGUUCACAUCAUAAUUUAACUUUUCUUAAAAACAACACGGAUUUUUUUCUAUUGUGUUUAGUUUAUGCAGUUUUAACAAAUGCCAUAAUUCCAAUUAUUCAUUCGGGCCUACUGGCUGAAAAUACAUUCCUUAUUAUGUUUGCUGUGAAUAAAUGACGAACAAUAACAACAAAUUGGUCAUCUGUCCGCGUCUGAGAAACGAAGUUAUAAUACCAUCAUCUCAUAUUGGCAGAUAAAUUAAGACGAAACUGCUUCACUAACAUCCAUAUUCAUUGACGUUUGGGGCAUAACGUGAUGUUAUUUCUAUGGUAUUUGUUUAUUAAAAAAACAUAAGGCAACACACUACUUUAACCUCAAACAAGUUC
Long non-coding RNA from Dreissena polymorpha, 965 nucleotides. RefSeq lists it as uncharacterized. The transcript is spliced from 3 exons. The record is from RefSeq and is a predicted model, not a curated record. NCBI's taxonomy places the organism in Eukaryota, Metazoa, Mollusca, Bivalvia, Myida, Dreissenidae.